RNAcentral lists this ribosomal RNA (616 nucleotides) under uncultured Legionella sp. RNAcentral describes it as "bacterial SSU rRNA". It matches the Rfam family "Bacterial small subunit ribosomal RNA", at positions 242 to 849 of the family's 1533-position model. The record is from RNAcentral. Lineage: Bacteria; Pseudomonadati; Pseudomonadota; Gammaproteobacteria; Legionellales; Legionellaceae.
UAGCUAGUUGGUAGGGUAAAGGCCUACCAAGGCGACGAUCGGUAGCUGGUCUGAGAGGAUGGCCAGCCACACUGGAACUGAGACACGGUCCAGACUCCUACGGGAGGCAGCAGCGGGGAAUAUUGGACAAUGGGGGCAACCCUGGUCCAGCAAUGCCGCGUGUGUGAAGAAGGCCUGAGGGUUGUAAAGCACUUUCAGUGGGGAGGAGGGUUGAUUGGUUAAGAGCUGGUUAAUUGGACGUUACCCACAGAAGAAGCACCGGCUAACUCCGUGCCAGCAGCCGCGGUAAUACGGAGGGUGCGAGCGUUAAUCGGAAUUACUGGGCGUAAAGGGUGCGUAGGUGGUUUAUUAAGUUAUGUGUAAAAUCCCUGGGCUCAACCUGGGCAGGUCAUAUAAUACUGGUAGACUCGAGUAUGGGAGAGGGUAGUGGAAUUUCCGGUGUAGCGGUGAAAUGCGUAGAGAUCGGAAGGAACACCAGUGGCGAAGGCGGCUACCUGGCCUAAUACUGACACUGAGGCACGAAAGCGUGGGGAGCAAACAGGAUUAGAUACCCUGGUAGUCCACGCUGUAAACGAUGUCAACUAGCUGUUGGUUAUAUGAAUAUAAUUAGUGGCGC